RNAcentral lists this transfer RNA (66 nucleotides) under Caligus rogercresseyi. RNAcentral describes it as "tRNA-Gly". The record is from RNAcentral. Lineage: Eukaryota; Metazoa; Arthropoda; Copepoda; Siphonostomatoida; Caligidae.
GUCGGUGUAUAAUGGUCAUCAUAGCUGCCUUCCAAGCAGUUGAUCCGGUUUCGAUUCCCGCCGACG